CUUGAUGGGGAUGGCAUUGAAUCUAUAAAUUACCUUGAGCAGUAUGGCCAUUUUCACAAUAUUGAUUCUUUCUACCCAUGAGCAUGGAAUGUUCUUCCAUUUGUUUGUAUCCUCUUUUAUUUCCUUGAGCAGUGGUUUGUAGUUCUCCUUGAAGAGGUCCUUCACAUCCCUUGUAAGUUGGAUUCCUAGGUAUUUUAUUCUCAUAAAAGAAAAUUUUUAUCUUUUAUCAUAGAACUACAACUUUGGUUAAACAAUGUAUGUAGCUGAUUAUAUUCUUUUGACAAUUCUAUCAAAUUUCCAAGAGUUAUAGUUUUCUCCCCUCCCCCAAGACAUUUGGAGAGCACAUGGACAUCUGUGUCCCGGCCUCACGGUACCUCCCUCAUCCCCAUGGAAAGAGGAAGAUGAGAGAAGGGAGGGAGGCCUUUGGCAGCCAAGGGAAGACAAGUUUCAGGAGUUCAUGAAGCACCAUCCCCCACCCCCAGUGAAGACCCUACCAGAAGGUCUUAUGUUCUGAGCUAUAUUGAGUGACUGCCUCAUUACCACUCCCUACUGUUAUGUGGCAAGUGUCAGGGCUGUGGCAAGGGUCAGGCUAUCAUCAUUGGCCCCUUCAAUAGACUGACCCUAGCAUUAGGGCAACCAUAAGUCCCUGUGUGCCCAAGACAAUCCUAGUUUACAUCUGAGGCCCCAGUGUCACUAUUAAUAGUGACCUCCUUUCACUCUCAAAGUUGUUCCAGUUUGGGCAAUGAAUUAUAUGAUCAAAGGCCCCAUCUCCUUUCAUCUGUCUGUCUCUCUUUUUUUCCCUUCCAUAGAGAUUUUAUCCAUCCCCACAGCUUAAAAUUCUUUCCCUCUGAAGAUAACUACUGAAUUUUCAUCUCUGUCUUUUUGCCCUGAGUCCACAAUUUCCGCUUGGAUACUGAAACAGUCACCCUCUCAGUGCUGGUGGAAAUGACACAAACUGACAAGUAUUUAUUUAGCCUCAUUCCCAUCACUCACCACUGCCACCCAGAAAAGUGUCACCUGAGUAUUUAUUGCAUGCAGCCCCAACACUAAAGAAAGAUCAGAAAUAUUUGUUCCCGUGGUGGAAAAUAAAGGGCUAUUUGCCCACGUCGCCAGGCUUCCUCUGGAAAGCAUCUGGGAAUCAUUCCAGAAAUUCAAUUUCCAGGUGUGUGUUUCUUUAAGGAAAUAUUGUGGAGUAGAGAAGGAACGCACUGUGCAGGUGCCAUUGGCUGUGGGCGUUGCUAUGGCAGAUCAGCCUUAUUACUGAAUAGCAAAGGAAGGAGUCACCAGGAAAACACAACAUGAACAGGCAGAGUGCACACGCCGUGGCCUCGGGAAGCCACAAUCAUGUGGCUGACAUGGUUCCAGAGUGUGGCAUUAGGGAGACCAACUUCUGAGCUGCAGAUUCACAGCAUGGCCAUGCAGGCAGGGAAGAUGUGCUCUACUCCAGGAUCAAGGAGCAAGCCCAUAUUUCCUCUUGAUUCUGGGACUCCCUCUUGAGACUGAUUUGCUCUAAUGUUAGCUCUUGAGAGAACUGGGGUCCCUGCCUUCUUGGGGAGCCUGAAAAGAAGUUUUGCUGUCUGGGCAUCACAGCAUCCAGAGUGUACAGGAGACAGGUCAGCAGCUGCGGUCAGCAGAGGCACACACGCCAGCCCCUGGAGAUGGGUGGCUUGUCCUGAGCCAAAGCUGGGCUGGUUUAUAAACAGCACCUGUGAAAAGAAGAGGGAUGACUCCAGUGGGACAUUCCUGAACCAUGUGCACCUAUUCACCUAGGAGAAGGAAUGGCUGGAGUUGCAUCUAUCUUUCUGUUUAUGAAAUAUGGGCCCAACUCCAGCGACAACAUAAUUUUUAGACCAUUUAGUGGAAUAAUAAAAGUCAAAAGAGGAAAGAGAACUUACAUGGAUUGAACACCCACUGCAUGCUUAGCUCUCUGCUAGGUGCAUUACAGAAAAGAGCUUAUUGAAUUCUUACGCAAACCCUUGAGGAUGAAUGGCCGCUCACCUGGAGUCUUGAUAGCCAGGUGAUGCAGAUUUAGGAGAAGAAGUCCACCUCAGGUCAGGUUUCCCCAAAGGCAGAUCCUGAGAUGAGGAAUCCAGGACCUAUCACUUACUUGGGAGAGGCAGAGUUUCCUUAUGUUGCCCAGGCUGGCCUCAAAGUCCUGACCUCUAGCCAUCCUCCUGCCUUGGCCUCCCAAAGUGCAGGAAUUACAGGUAAUAAUACGGUUUGGAUGUGUGUCCCCUGUGAAUCUCAUGUUGAAAUGUAAUCCCCCAUGUUGGAGGUGGGACCUGUUGGGAGGUGACUGGAUCAUGGAGGCAGAUUUCUCAUGACUGUCUAAGAAUCCCCCUAGUGACGAGUGAGUUCUCCCUCAGUUAGUUCACGUGAGAUCUGCUUGUUUAAGAGUCUGGGACCUCCCUCUUCUCUCUUCUUGCCCCCACAUCUCACCAUGUGACGCACCUGCUCUCCCUGUGCCUUCCACCAUGAUUGGACGCUUCCUGAGGCCCUCACCAGGAGCAGAUCCCAGCACCAUGCUUCCUGUCCAGCCUGCAGAACUGAGAGCCAAUUAAACCUCUUUUCUUAAUAAAUUACCCAGCCUCAGGUAUUUCUUUAUUGCAAUGAAAAAGAAGACAAACACAGCUAAUAAUAAGUGUUUGAGCAGAGAUCUAAAGAAGUGAGGACGCGAGGAUCCUGGGGACAGCAUUCUAGGAAGUGGGUGCAGGAAAUAUGAAAGCCAUGCAAUGAGAAUACUUUAUUCUCAUAAAUAAAGUGGUUUAUGAGUACUUGCUAUAAAGAGUACAAAAUACAGUAAUAGAUGAAAGAGGAAUUGGAGGUUGAAAAGAGAUUUAUUGAUCUGUUAGUUGUUUAAUUUAAUAUAGGAUGUUAUCGCAUGUUAGUAUGCCAAUGGGAUGAACCACAAGAAAUAGGAAAAUCAAUGAUACGAGAGAAAGAUGUCAAGUCCUUGAAUAGGAAAGAGGGCUAGGGCCCUGUGUACAGGUGGCAGAUGCCCUGGACCAAGGCUGUGGCAGGCCAUCCCUUGCAGCAGGAAGAAAUGCAGAGGAUAAAAAUACAGCCACAAGAAACAUUCCUGAAUGCUUAGGGAAAUUGCUUUCCUCUUAAAAAUUUCCAAAAAUUCAUCUUAAGCACCUAUUAAAUGGCUCUUCUGGAGCUGAAGGUUUUGUGCUGCCUGCCAAGCAAUGAUUUGGGGUUCACAGCCAAUCCCAGGGGAGUAAAAGCAGGGACAGGAGGUCAGAGAACACAUUCUCUUCCAUCUGUGCAUGCCUUCAAUAAACGUUGGAUUGACUGGAAUUAUGAGAAACUAAAAUCAUUUGUUGAAGAUCUGCUUAAAAGAUAUUUACAGAUGGUGCAGAAAACCAUUAUCCUGAGGAAGGAAUUACAACCUCCACAGACAGUAUUGGGACUGUCCUAAGAAGAUCGGUCUGAAGGCGGGAACCCUGUCCUGAUGGGAUGCUUCACUACUGAGAACUGGGACGGGUCCAUUGACUCUGUGUCUGUUCAAUGACAUGACCAUUUCUUAGGCGGCAAGUUCCCUGAAGGAAGUGGUCGUGUCUUAGUCAAUAUUCAGUGGCUUCCCCCACCACUCCAGAAGCUCAGUCAAGGAGUGGCAGCACAAAGAACAACAGGGCCUGCAGCUCACAGUUGUUAAAGAUGGAGAGCAGAUCUCCCAGAGAGAAAAGGAGACCCUCUUCACAUCAUGUUCUCUCAUUGGCUUCUUCCUGAAGUCUGAGGCCUGAACCCCCAAAUACUGCUAAUAAAAAGAUUUUUUAAAAUUUAAAUUUUAGAAUCAGGGGGUACAUGUGCAGGUUUGUUACAAGGGUCUGUUGCGUGAUGCUGGGGUUUCGGUUUGUAUUGAUCCUAUCACCCAGAUAGUGAACAGAGUACCUAACAGGAAGAUUUUCAGCCCUUGUUCUCCUCCCUCUCUCCUCCUUUUGGAGUCCCCAGUGUCUAUGGAAGGGUAUUUCCUAGGUUUUCUUCUAGGAUUUCAAAGCUUGAGGUCUUACAUUUAAAGCUUUAAUCCACCCUGAGUUAAUUUGCGUAUAUGGUGAUAGGUAGGGGUCCAGUUUCAUUCUUCUGCGUAUGGCUAG
RNAcentral lists this long non-coding RNA (4097 nucleotides) under Homo sapiens (human). RNAcentral describes it as "HSALNT0222320". Lineage: Eukaryota; Metazoa; Chordata; Mammalia; Primates; Hominidae. The record is from RNAcentral.